CCUACGGGUGGCAGCAGUGAGGAAUAUUGCACAAUGGGGGGAACCCUGAUGCAGCGACGCCGCGUGAGUGAAGAAGUAUUUCGGUAUGUAAAGCUCUAUCAGCAGGGAAGAAAAUGACGGUACCUGACUAAGAAGCCCCGGCUAACUACGUGCCAGCAGCCGCGGUAAUACGUAGGGGGCAAGCGGUAUCCGGAUUUACUGGGUGUAAAGGGAGCGUAGACGGUUAUGCAAGUCUGACGUGAAAGCCCCAGGCUCAACCAUGGGACUGCUUUGGAAACUGGAAAACUGGAGUGCAGGAGAGGUAAGCGGAAUUCCUAGUGUAGCGGUGAAAUGCGUAGAUAUUAGGAGGAACACCAGUGGCGAAGGCGGCUUACUGGACUGUAACUGACGUUGAGGCUCGAAGGCGUGGGGAGCAAACAGGAUUAGAUACCCCAGUAGUC
This 440-nucleotide ribosomal RNA is filed under the name uncultured bacterium. RNAcentral's name for it is "partial 16S ribosomal RNA". It matches the Rfam family "Bacterial small subunit ribosomal RNA", at positions 338 to 795 of the family's 1533-position model. The record is from RNAcentral.